Molecule: non-coding RNA, 125 nt
Organism: Triticum aestivum (bread wheat)
Lineage: Eukaryota; Viridiplantae; Streptophyta; Magnoliopsida; Poales; Poaceae
Source: Rfam
UAAAUACUCCCUCCGUCCGGAAUUACUUGUCGUAGAAAUGGAUAAAAAUGGAUAUAUCUAGAACUAAAAUACGUCUAGAUACAUUCAUUUAUAAGACAAGUAUUUUCGGACGGAGGGAGUAUAAG